This is an RNA transcript of Rosa rugosa (rugosa rose), 1630 nucleotides long. RefSeq lists it as uncharacterized. The record is from RefSeq and is a predicted model, not a curated record. The transcript has 5 exons. Lineage: Eukaryota; Viridiplantae; Streptophyta; Magnoliopsida; Rosales; Rosaceae.
CCACUUUUACCUAAAUCAAAACUAGAUAGCUCCCCCCCUCCUCCUCCUUCUCGUCCAUCUUCCUUUUCCAAUCCAUGUCUCUCUCUUCUUCAUUGGCUCGCCGGCCUCACUUCCAUGGUUUCUCCUCCUUCCUCUACUCAAACCCUCGGCGACAGAUCUGAUUUCAAGCCAACCGAAGUACUAUAUUUCACGUCUUUUUCAUCUUUACAUAAUCGAUCUGAUUUGCUUUACUUGCUUUCAAUUUCAUAAGGUAACUUUCUACGAUUGGUGGUUGGUCAAAUCCAAAGAGAAUGACCAAAAAGGGAGACUUGCCGUCGCCGGUGUUUCUUCUGCCCCAUGAGUCAAAUUCCCCUAAUUUCUUUUCUACGGUUUCAUUUGCCCGUACUGCUUGUGAUUGUUAAUUUUAGGGCUUGAUUGCAAAUUUGUCAGUACUUCUCUACAUCUUCAAUUAAAAUUUGAACUUGGAUUGAACUGACCUUCUCGAUUUAACCCUUGUUGUUUUACAGCAGCUUCCAGUUGAACUUGAAUAGAUGUGUAGUAUGGAAUUGUUUAUGGGUUUGUUUUAAUUUGAAUGCAAUUUUGUUUUGGUUAGGCAGCUUCCAGUUUGAUGCCUUGUUUUAAUUUGAUGUGGGUUUGGAGUUUGUAGAGGUGUAUCAAUUGGGAAAGUUGGGAAAAGUUAUAAAAUUUGGUUUGGCAGGUCAGGUAAUCAAUUACGUUUGGUUUGAUGGGAAGUUUGUUUGCAUGUAAGCAUUGUUAUCAUUGAUGGUUUGUUAUGAAUGAGACUGAUUGUUACUUUAAAUUGUUGUCAUUUGUUAAACUGUUCUCUUAUACAGAAAGUUAGAAACUAGUUUAUUGUAUUGCUUUGAAUUGUCUAUAUGUUUAAUUGUUUUUAACCUAUAGACUAAUUGCUUUGAAUUAUCUUUAUGUUGUAGAUUGAUUGUUGUUUAAUUGUAUCCUAAGUGGGAAAUACCAUAAGUUAUGGGAUUACAAUAUGGUCUUCUGAUAUCUCUAUGAAAGUUUUAUCAAACAAAAAUUACUGUGUUCUGUAUGUUUUAUGGGUGCACAUAUAGAGAGUCAAGAUUUUGGUUAGUACUCCAAGCAGCUUAGUUUCUACUUUUCUGGGCAGUUGUGUGUUUCUGACAUUUGGUAGUUUUACUUGCUACUUAAUGUGAUUUGUUCAAUUUGUUCAUGACAGGUUCUUGUAGUUAGACGAGACUUGAAGAUGACAACUACAAAAAUUGCAUCUCAGUAUGCUGCAACUAGCAUGUAUGCAGAACUGAUGCAAAGGGUUCUUAUGGAUGCGUAUCAUUUGGGUAACCUCCAACCUUCAAUGUAGGAAAGAUAUAAUUCCAUGGUUUCCAUGGAUGGUAAUGCAGAACUUCAAAUAUUAUCAUUCAAAGCCACUAAGAUUAGGCUUUUACGUAGCCUAUGUAUUCACACUCAAACAAUGCAGGUUCAUUUGCAGCUACACCAAGGACUGGAAAUUCAAGUUACAAGUAUUUUUAUCUUAUAACAAACUGCUACUUUUGUUUUGUAUAUGGAGAAGUAUAGGCCAUAUGUCCCCUUCUCCCUACUCUUUGUACUCUUUUUAUCAGAAAUAGUAUUAAUGAGAAUUUUCUUUUGGUUACCA